GGCUGUAUGGUGUAGUGGUUAGCACGAGGUCCUUUCAAGGCUUCGGGCCCGGCUCGAAUCCGGGUACAGCCUCCA
RNAcentral lists this transfer RNA (75 nucleotides) under marine sediment metagenome. Its description in RNAcentral is "tRNA-Glu". It matches the Rfam family "tRNA". From Rfam's summary of the family: Transfer RNA (tRNA) molecules are approximately 80 nucleotides in length. Their secondary structure includes four short double-helical elements and three loops (D, anti-codon, and T loops). The record is from RNAcentral.